RNAcentral lists this ribosomal RNA (372 nucleotides) under uncultured bacterium. RNAcentral describes it as "bacterial SSU rRNA". It matches the Rfam family "Bacterial small subunit ribosomal RNA", at positions 28 to 408 of the family's 1533-position model. The record is from RNAcentral.
GAUGAACGCUAGCGGCAGGCUUAAUACAUGCAAGUCGAGCGGUAGGUGGCUUCGGCCAUUGAGAGCGGCGCACGGGUGAGUAACGCGUACAUGACCUGCCUGUCAGAAGGGGAUAGCCCUGGGAAACUGGGAUUAAUACCCUAUGGUAUUGAUAUUAUGAAUGAUAUCAAUUAAAGUUGAGGCGCUGACAGAUGGAUGUGCGUCUGAUUAGCUAGUUGGUAGGGUAACGGCCUACCAAGGCGACGAUCAGUAGGGGGCGUGAGAGCGUGGUCCCCCACACGGGUACGUGAGACACGGACCCGACUCCUACGGGAGGCAGCAGUAAGGAAUAUUGGUCAAUGCCCGCAAGGUGACCAGCAUUCGCGUGGAGGA